CGUGAGUAACCUGCCUUGGAGUGGGGAAUAACAGCUGGAAACAGCUGCUAAUACCGCAUAAUAUGUCUGAAUCGCAUGGUUCUGGACAUCAAAGAUUUAUCGCUCUGAGAUGGACUCGCGUCUGAUUAGCUGGUUGGCGGGGUAACGGCCCACCAAGGCGACGAUCAGUAGCCGGACUGAGAGGUUGGCCGGCCACAUUGGGACUGAGACACGGCCCAGACUCCUACGGAAGGCAGCAG
RNAcentral lists this ribosomal RNA (239 nucleotides) under uncultured bacterium. Its description in RNAcentral is "partial 16S ribosomal RNA". It matches the Rfam family "Bacterial small subunit ribosomal RNA", at positions 116 to 354 of the family's 1533-position model. The record is from RNAcentral.